GGUUAUGGCUCAGUGGUGGAGUGCUAGCCUCCAAUGUGUGAGGCCCUGGAUUCGAUCCUCAGCACCA
RNAcentral lists this transfer RNA (67 nucleotides) under Marmota monax (woodchuck). RNAcentral describes it as "tRNA.Trp". Lineage: Eukaryota; Metazoa; Chordata; Mammalia; Rodentia; Sciuridae. The record is from RNAcentral.